CCGGUUCGUAAAAGAUGGAUGCUGGUUGUGUGAGUCAACGUGCCCGUCCCGGUACAAAAGCACAUAUUGAUCCCCCAGAAACGGAUCAGAAGUUUCUGGCACCACAUCGUAGAUCCUUCCACGGAGACGAGCAUUAGAUCUAACAAUGGUGAUGAUGAUCCUGAUGAAGGCCACAAGCCAAAAUGUGUCAGUGGAGCAGUGAAGUUUUCUGAAUCAUUCAAAUGUUCUUCGAGAUCCAACUUUCUAUUUCCUUAUUGCUUCAGGACUCUGUGUGGUGAUUUCACUGACAGCUUAUUUAUUAAUAAGUAAUUAUUUAUAUUAUUGUUGAAAACAACUCCAAGAGGUAAUUUAGUUUUAUAGAAGAGAGCAGUCUCUCUGUCAGGUGAACAUCUACAAGUAUACUAACAAAUUAAAUCUGAAGAUGACAGUCAGUAAUGCAGCCUGAUUUAAAACAUUAAUAUGGAAAUAAAAGAUUGAAUGAGUGACUGCUGCUGUCUGAACUUGUAAUGUGACUCUUUCCUUACUUGUUUAAAAUGUCUGAAUGAUUAGUCAUUACUGCUUUUCUUGAAAUCUCAACACAGAAGAAGAAGAAUAAAAAUAAAAUGAUUGACUGCUGCUGUCUGAACUUGUAAUGUGACUCUUUCCUUACUUGUUUAAAAUGUCUGAAUGAUUAGUCAUUACUGCUUUUCUUGAAAUCUCAACACAGAAGAAGAAGAAUAAAAAUAAAAUGAUGUGAAAUUAGUCA
This is a long non-coding RNA of Oreochromis aureus, 745 nucleotides long. The record is from Ensembl. NCBI's taxonomy places the organism in Eukaryota, Metazoa, Chordata, Actinopteri, Cichliformes, Cichlidae.